GCUAGGCGUGGUGGUGCACACCUGCAAUCCCAGCAGCUCAGGAGGCUGAGGCAGGAGGAUCACAAGUUCAAAGUCAGCCUCAGCAACAGCAAGACACUGAGCAGCUCAGUGAGAACUUGUCUUUA
RNAcentral lists this small RNA (125 nucleotides) under Marmota monax (woodchuck). The record is from RNAcentral. Lineage: Eukaryota; Metazoa; Chordata; Mammalia; Rodentia; Sciuridae.